RNAcentral lists this ribosomal RNA (376 nucleotides) under uncultured eukaryote. RNAcentral describes it as "partial 18S ribosomal RNA". It matches the Rfam family "Eukaryotic small subunit ribosomal RNA", at positions 592 to 975 of the family's 1831-position model. The record is from RNAcentral.
CAAUAGCGUAUAUUAAAGUUGUUGCAGUUAAAAAGCUCGUAGUUGGAGUUCAGAGUGAGCUCAGCUGGUCGGCCUAAUGGGUCAGAACUGGUUGACUCUCUCUUGUUUGUGGGUCUCGCCCGGAGUUAACUCUUCGGAUGUGGAUCCCACAUCGUUUACCUUGAAAAAAUUAGAGUGUUCAAAGCAGGCGUUUGCUUGAAUAUAUUAGCAUGGAAUAAUGGAAUAGGACGCUGGUUCUAUUUUGUUGGUUUUGAGAACCAGAGUAAUGAUUAAUAGGGACAGUUGGGGGCAUUCAUAUUUCAUUGUCAGAGGUGAAAUUCUUGGAUUUAUGAAAGAUGAACUUCUGCGAANGNAUUUGCNAAGGAUGUUUNCAUUA